AUCUUUGCGCAGAGGCGAUAUCGUAACCAAUGAAGUUCUACUGAGGUGCGAUUAUUGCUAGUUGAAACCUAGUAAAUUACGUUUAAUUUAUUUAUUCACACAGUUGUU
Small nuclear RNA from Drosophila biarmipes, 108 nucleotides. RefSeq annotates it as U4 spliceosomal RNA. The record is from RefSeq and is a predicted model, not a curated record. The transcript has a single exon. NCBI's taxonomy places the organism in Eukaryota, Metazoa, Arthropoda, Insecta, Diptera, Drosophilidae.